UACAGCUUCAGUUAGAAACAAAAGGCUCAAUAGGAAAGUAGGGGUUAUUUUAGAUAACAAUGAGUUGACAUUCUCAAUAAUUCAAGAGUCAGGGAAAGUGACAGUUUUCUAUUGCUGUUAUUUAUUUAAAAUAUAAGCCAUAGUUAUAACUUAGAAACAAUCACAACUGACCUGUCUUUCUAGGUUCUAUAGAAGCCUACCGUUACAGUUUAGAUCUAGGAUGUUUCCCAGCAGUCUUCUGGGCUUAGGAGGAGGCCUCUGGAAUAUGAUUGGAUUGAGGAGGCCCCGCCCUCCUCCAUAAACCAAUCCUCCACCCCCACCCCGUGUGCUCAUAGCCCAGUGUGCUGUUAGAAAGUACAGCCUGGUUGGAGGGCAGGUCACUGGGGGCGUGGCCUGUGUGGUGCUCCACCUCCCUGGCUCCUCCCCUCCCGCUGCUUCCUGACUGCCCAGGCUUGAGCUCCUCUUACUCAACCAGGGCCCGGCACUAUCUUUAUUUCUCCAUGAAGUCAGGCGACUGCAGAUGGAAACCACAGACCAAAGUAAACUUCUGUUCCUUUAAAUUGUUAGGUGUUUUUUUUUCAGCAACGAGAAAGUGACUGACAAGAAAUGUGUAAAUUAUUCUCCAACGAUUUUGAGAAAUCUCAUCCAUAUUUACCCAACGUAACACGACUUGGGAGCCAUGUAUGUGCCUGUUCGCAUCACAAGACAAAUAAGCAUUAUGAAAGAGAGCAAUGCCACAACCUAAGAGUUGGCUGAGCAAAAUAUUGAUUAUACUCGCAGUUCCUUAAGGAGAUCCUGGCUUUUAUUACAAGUGUGCAAAUAACAAGUUCACGGGCUACCACCCCCCACUUGAGGCUGCAUCCAGAC
Molecule: long non-coding RNA, 867 nt
Filed under: Cavia porcellus (domestic guinea pig)
Lineage: Eukaryota; Metazoa; Chordata; Mammalia; Rodentia; Caviidae
Description: lncRNA (ENSCPOG00000037988.1)
Source: RNAcentral